Molecule: long non-coding RNA, 709 nt
Organism: Symphalangus syndactylus (siamang)
Lineage: Eukaryota; Metazoa; Chordata; Mammalia; Primates; Hylobatidae
Source: RefSeq, a predicted model, not a curated record
UCCCCGGGACAGCUGGAUUGGCUGCUUGUGUGGGAUCUCCCCCGCUACCCCUUCCCCAAAUCUAAGUUCCCGCGUUCCGCCCCUUUUGCAGACCUUUCCGGUUCUCCAGGUUUUUGUCGUUUUUUUUUUCAUCCCCAGUUAUAACUAACGGAUAAUGAUAAUAAUGGAGACCAUUUAUAGAGCUCUGUAUUGUUCCAGACUGUGUGUUUUGCACAUUAAUUGGCUUACUUAACUUUCGCUAAAACCCUAUAAGGAAGAGCAGCACUCCCUCCUUGGCCCAAUAUUAGUGGCGUCGGAGGCCUCAGCUGCAAAAUCUGGCCCGGCGCCAUUCCAGAAGUUCUCGCGGGAGGGAGAAUCCUCACCAAGGCGGGAACUGGCCGGCCACUGAGAUUCUCUCAGGCAGCUAACGCUGGGCGGCCGCCGCCGCGGGGGCAUGGUUUGUCCUUCCUACGGCUGCGAACCCACCGCGGGUUUGCGUAUUUCCCUUGAUUCCUGGAGGACAGAGCUGGGAUGGACUUGACCCAAGACUCAGGGAUGACGAAACGGAAAUAAACAGAGUUACUCAUAAGGCCAGCCAUCACAGAUUUGCUACAACUGAACUGAGAAACUCGAAGGACACUUCAAAACAGCAGGUUGUGAUACCCGGCCAGAUCCCAUGUCCUCAGAUGUAGCAUGGCCUCAUCGGAGCUCAGAAGUACGAAGAACCAAA